UGAAGAGCCAGAAGAAGCCGGACCAG
Molecule: non-coding RNA, 26 nt
Filed under: Mus musculus (house mouse)
Lineage: Eukaryota; Metazoa; Chordata; Mammalia; Rodentia; Muridae
Source: RNAcentral